This 253-nucleotide ribosomal RNA is filed under the name uncultured bacterium. Its description in RNAcentral is "partial 16S ribosomal RNA". It matches the Rfam family "Bacterial small subunit ribosomal RNA", at positions 524 to 776 of the family's 1533-position model. The record is from RNAcentral.
UACAGAGGAGCCAAGCGUUGUCCGGAUUGACUGGGCGUAAAGCGCACGCAGGCGGGGGUGCGCGUGGGGUGUGAAAUCUGGCCGCUUAACGGCCAGGCGCCAUCCCAUACGGCACGCCUGGAGCCUUGCAGAGGUCGGUGGAAUUGCCGGUGUAGUGGUGAAAUGCGUAGAGAUCGGCAGGAACACCCAGGGGGAAACCAGCCGACUGGGCAUUGACUGACGCUGAGGUGCGAGAGCGUGGGGAGCGAACCGG